RNAcentral lists this ribosomal RNA (471 nucleotides) under uncultured soil bacterium. RNAcentral's name for it is "bacterial SSU rRNA". It matches the Rfam family "Bacterial small subunit ribosomal RNA", at positions 26 to 518 of the family's 1533-position model. The record is from RNAcentral.
AGGACAAACGCUGGCGGCGUGCAUAAAACAUGCAAGUCGAACGGACUUCAGUCCGCAAGGACUGAAGUGAGUGGCGAACGGCUGAGUAACACGUAGGUGACCUGCCCCGAAGUUUGGGAUAACACCUCGAAAGAGGUGCUAAUACCGGAUGUGACCACCGAUUCAUUUCGGUGCUUAAAGUCGCAAGACGCUUUGGGAGGGCCUGCGGCGGAUUAGCUAGUUGGUGUGGUAACGGCACACCAAGGCUUCGAUCCGUAGCUGGUCUGAGAGGAUGGCCAGCCAGACUGGGACUGAGACACGGCCCAGACUCCUACGGGAGGCAGCAGUUAGGAAUUUGCGCAAUGGAGGAAGCUCUGACGCAGCCACGCCGCGUGGGGAUGAAGGCCUUCGGGUCGUAAACCUCUUUUCUCAGGAAGACACCCGACGGUACCUGAGGAAUAAGCAACGGCUAAACUACGUGCCAGCAGCCGC